This 24-nucleotide non-coding RNA is filed under the name Arabidopsis thaliana (thale cress). Lineage: Eukaryota; Viridiplantae; Streptophyta; Magnoliopsida; Brassicales; Brassicaceae. The record is from RNAcentral.
CAAAGGAUAUACCACUCAGUGCCC